RNAcentral lists this long non-coding RNA (1226 nucleotides) under Salmo salar (Atlantic salmon). RNAcentral's name for it is "lncRNA (ENSSSAG00000092534.1)". Lineage: Eukaryota; Metazoa; Chordata; Actinopteri; Salmoniformes; Salmonidae. The record is from RNAcentral.
GUAACGGUUUUGUCUUUGAAAUUUGUUUUUUACUGAAUCGUAAAGUUUAUCAUCUAGUUUACAGUGGAAGGAUCUGUUUCUCAUCACUGGCUAUAAAAUUCAGCUAACAUUCAUCUAGCACCAGGAUCAGCAGUGCUUAGCAUAAACUAAGUCAGAUACUUGCUAGCUAAUUUAGCUAACGUCGGUAGCUUCGAACCCUGGCCAUAUUAUAUCAUAUAGUUAGCCUCAAACUUUGCCCGGUCAUCUGCUAGCUGCAGAGAACGGCAUCUUCUUGUGUUUUAUUAAAAGCCCUGCUGAAAAAACAUGUAAACUAUAACAGCCACGGAAACACAUUGGAUUGUGUUAAUACUAUCAAGACCUGAGCCCUAGGACCAUGCCUCAGGACUACCUGGCAUGAUGACUCCUUGCUGUCCCCAGUCCACCUGGCCGUGCUGCUGCUCCAGUUUCAACUGUUCUGCCUGCGGCUAUGGAACCCUGACCUGUUCACCGGACGUGCUACAUGUCCCAGACCUGCUGUUAUCAACUCUCUAGAGACAGCAGGAGCGGUAGAGAUACUCUCAAUGAUCGGCUAUGAAAAGCGAACUGACAUUUACUCUUGAGGUGCUGACUUGUUGCACCCUCGACAACUACUGGGAUUAUUAUUAUUUGACCAUGCUGGUCAUUUAUGAACAUUUGAACAUCUUGGCCAUGUUCUGCUAAAAUCUCCACCCGGCACAGCCAGAAGAGGACUGGCCACCCCUCAUAGCCUGGUUCCUCUCUAGGUUUCUUCCUAGGUUUUGGCCUUUCUAGGGAGUUUUUCCGAGCCACCGUGCUUCUACACCUGCAUUGCUUGCUGUUUGGGGUUUUAGGCUGGGUUUCUGUACAGCACUUUGAGAUAUCAGCUCAUGUAAGAAGGGCUAUAUAAAUAAAUUUGAUUUAUUUAUUGUAACAUUGCACAUAUUGUAACAGUCCCUUGACUAACAUGACUUAACUACUUUGCAUAAUGCUCAGUUUACCCACUAAGAAAUCAUACAUUUAUUAGAGCUGCAUUAUCUAUUAUUGUGUCCAAUUGAUUCUGGUUGGUUGUAAUGUUUUUGAAAACUUUCACUACACAACUUUUAUUGCUGAUAGACAAUCCUGUUGGAAACUUUCAUAAUAUCAAUUAUUUUGGGACACAUCAAUUAACAUUGGCUGCAGUAUUCCGAACUUACUAGGUAGUCAUGCAAUAAACGUUUUGGAUAAUUCCC